UCGCCAUGCCACCCUGGUCACCUGAAUCGAAUCUGUCUGAUUUUAGAAGCUAAGUAGGGUCAGGUCUGGUUAGUCCUGAGAUGGAAGACUAUCAAGGAAUAACUUCAAGUAGGACGAG
RNAcentral lists this ribosomal RNA (118 nucleotides) under Pogona vitticeps (central bearded dragon). The record is from RNAcentral. Lineage: Eukaryota; Metazoa; Chordata; Lepidosauria; Squamata; Agamidae.